Molecule: ribosomal RNA, 469 nt
Filed under: uncultured bacterium
Lineage: Bacteria
Description: partial 16S ribosomal RNA
Rfam family: Bacterial small subunit ribosomal RNA
Source: RNAcentral
GACGAACGCUGGCGGCGUGCUUAACACAUGCAAGUCGAACGGAAAGGCCCUGCUUGCAGGGUGCUCGUGUGGCGAACGGGUGGGUAACACGCGGGUGAUCUGCCCCCUACUUUGGGAUAAGCCUGGGCAACUGGGUCUAAUACUGGCUAGGUCCUUGCUGUAGGCGGUGUGGUGGAAAGAUUAGUUCCGGUUAGGGAUGAGCUCGCGGCCUAUCAGCUUGUUGGUGGGGUAUUGGUCUACCAAGGCGUCGCCGGGUAGCCGGCCUGAGAGGGUGGACGGCCACAUUGGGACUGAGAUACGGCCCAGACGCCUACGAGAGGCAGCAGUGGGGGAUAGUGCACAAUAGGCGCAAGCCUGAUGCAGCGACGCCGCGUGGGGCGUGACGGCCUUCUGGUUGUAAACACCAUACGGCCAUGACGAAGCCCUUGUGGUGACGGUAGUGGUAGAAGAAGCACCGGCUAACUACGUG